RNAcentral lists this ribosomal RNA (2664 nucleotides) under Phaeocystis rex. RNAcentral's name for it is "large subunit ribosomal RNA". It matches the Rfam family "Bacterial large subunit ribosomal RNA". Lineage: Eukaryota; Haptophyta; Phaeocystales; Phaeocystaceae. The record is from RNAcentral.
AAAGAAUUUUAGGUGGAAUGAUUGAUUUAUAACUUUAGGCGUUAUUUAUACACGAAAAGUUUGAUCUAUUAUUAGGUUUGAAGAGAUCAAAAUUCCUAGAAAGAAAACUUUUGUCUCAGAAAUAUAUAUUAGGUUUUUGUUUAUCUUAAAACUUUAAUUAAGUUUUGCUUUUUUAGUGAAUUGAUACAUCUCAGUAGCUUUAUAGGAAAUCAAAAGAGAAAAUUUUGCGAGUAACGGUGAGUGAAACCAGUAGAGUAAUUUAUAAAUUUUAUGGGUUCAGCCUUCAUUAUGUUAUCUCUUUUUGUUUGCUUUUGGUAAUUUUUUGCCAUUUUAUAGGAAAAUUCGUUUUCUGACUUUAAAGGAGUAAAAUCUAUAGUGUAGUAGUAUUGUGAAGGAAAGCACUUCGUUUUAAAUAAGGAAAGAAGUAUAGAAACCUAGAAUUUUUGUUAACUAUCGUUUAAAACGUUGUACUUUUUGCAUUACGGUUUUACUAUUUAAAAGAAUUAGGUAAGCUUUAAUUAAUUUUAAAGGCUAACUAAAAUUCUUAACGUUUUGCUUACAAAAAUUAAUCUUUUCUUUUAAACACGAAGCCAAGCGAUCUAUUCAAGUAUAAGCUGAAAUUAAUUUAAAAAUUACAUGGAAGGCUUUAAUCUGUGUUUGUUGCAAUAAACUAGAGUGAUAUUUGAAUAGGAGUGAAAGGCUAAUCAAGCUUGGUUAUAGCUUGAACUCCACGAAAUUUAUUUAAGUAAAGCUAUUACCAACAGAAUGAGGUAAAGCACUGAUUUCGUUUUGGGAAAUUUAACGUUUUUCAAGCGUUUUCAAACUUUGAAUGCAUUCUUAGAUUACGAGCUUCGGUAUUAAGUUAGACUUUAAGCUAUAAAGUUUUAAGUCGAAAGAGGAACAACUCAGAUCGCUUUCUAAGAUAUUUAAUUAUGUUCUAAAAUAAAAGGUUUUUUGUUAGGUUAUCCCUAUUUCAAGCUUAUAUUACAUUAAAGUUGGCUUAGAAACAGCCAUCGAUUGAAGAUAACGUAAUAGUUCGAAUAAUUAGCUCAAAAAAUCCCAAAAUUUAAGAUUUUAAACAAAGUCGAAGCAGCGAGUUUCGGUACGGUAGUGGAGCAUUUUGUAAAAUUUUAAUGUUUUUUUAGAGCGUUUAAAAAGGAAUUCGUUGACUCUGUGAAGUGUAAUCAAAAACGAUACUGUAAAAAUUAGUAACAUCUUAAACUUUUAAUAGUUCGUUUUUAAUCUAAGCUUUUUUAUUUCUGUUUUGAGUUUAUUCGAUCCCUAAAAUAUCGUGUGAUAAUUUUAUUGAUGGGUUUUAUUGUUAGCGUGUAAAUACUUUAAAAAUGAAAAAUUUUAGUAAUUAAUUUCUCCAUAGUUUUUAAGUGCGGGAUAAACAACUAUAAAAUUAUCCAUUUUUCAGGAAAAAGUAAGCUAACGCGUUCGUAGCUUAUAACCGCAACAGGUAGAUCAAUAAAAAAUAUUAAAACGUAAAGAAUAAUAAAAGGUAAGGAAUUCGGCAAACAGUCUUCGUAACUUCGGGAUAAGAAGAAAUGGUUAAUAGUUACUAUUAAUUAUUAAUGACAACUCAAUGAGCGACUUUUUAAUAAAAAAUUAAAAUAACGCUAAUUAUUACUAACGUGUAUGUUAUUUGAUUGGUUCUCAAUGCUUUAAACUGAAAAAGAGGGUUGUAUGCUCUUUAAUAAAGAAAGGCAAAUAGAUGUCUUAUUUUGAGGAUAGUAAUGUAGCGAAAUUCCUUGGCCUUUAAUUGAGGUCCUGCACGAAGCCAAUAACGACUCAUUGACUCUCUCGUCUUUUAUUCUUGUGAAUUUGAAAUAAGGGUGAAGAUUCCCUUUUGUUAAAGCAAGACGAAAAGACCCUAUCAAUCUUUACUCUAAUCUAAUAUUGUUCUUCUAAAUUUAUACGUUUAGUUAGAUAGUUGUUUUUGCUUAAGCUUUUAUGAAAAACUAUCCUAUAAUUUAUUAGGACUAAAUUGCUGUAAAAAAGCUAAGACAUUGUUUGGUUUGUGAGUUUAUCUGGGACAGAUGCCUUUUAAAAGGUAAUAAAGGUAUACAAAGACAACUUUUAUUAGGGCUUUCUUAUCUAUUGAAGCGAAAAAGCAAAUAGUUUGUUUGACUGCGAAGCAUAAAAUUGUUUAAGCAGCUAUGUAAAUAGGUUUUAUUGAUCCGAUAAUAUUGAACGAAAAAGUUAUCGCUUAAUAGAUAAAAGAUACUGUAGGGAUAACAGGAUAAUAAAAACCAAGCGAUCAAAGCGACGUUUUUGUUUGUUACUUCGAUGUCGGUUUAAAGCAUCCUGAUGGUGAAGCAGCUAUCAAGGGUUUAGCUGUUCGCUAAUUAAUGCUUUACACGAACUGGGUUUAAAACGAUGCGAAUCAGUUUUGUUUCUAUCUGCUUGAUAAUUAAGGUUUAAAGUCGUUCCUUCUAGUAUGAGAAGAUUGAAGAGGAAAAAGCCAAUUGUUUAGAAUUUUUUUAGUUUUAUGGCUAUGCUUUUAUUGUUUAAAAAUUGAAUGCGUUAACUUUUGAAACAUUGCUUAAAAUAACCUUAGAAUAUGUUUUACACGAAAACUUUGAUCGGUCGUUAUUAAUAUUGAAAAUCGAUAGCGAAUUAAGAUUUAUAAACUUUUUAGUUUUUUAAAAAUAACCAAGA